RNAcentral lists this ribosomal RNA (302 nucleotides) under Pseudomonas aeruginosa. Its description in RNAcentral is "bacterial SSU rRNA". It matches the Rfam family "Bacterial small subunit ribosomal RNA", at positions 58 to 361 of the family's 1533-position model. The record is from RNAcentral. Lineage: Bacteria; Pseudomonadati; Pseudomonadota; Gammaproteobacteria; Pseudomonadales; Pseudomonadaceae.
CAAGUUCGAGCGGAUGAGGGAGCUUGCUCCUGGAUUCAGCGGCGGACGGGUGAGUUAUUGCCUAGGAAUCUGCCUGGUAGUGGGGGAUAACGUCCGGAAACGGGCGCUAAUACCGCAUACGUCCUGAGGGAGAAAGUGGGGGAUCUUCGGACCUCACGCUAUCAGAUGAGCCUAGGUCGGAUUAGCUAGUUGGUGGGGUAAAGGCCUACCAAGGCGACGAUCCGUAACUGGUCUGAGAGGAUGAUCCGUCACUCUGGAACUGAGACACGGUCCAGACUCCUACGGGAGGCAGCAGUGGGGAA